AUUGAACGCUGGCGGCAGGCCUAACACAUGCAAGUCGAACGGUAACAGGAAACAGCUUGCUGUUUCGCUGACGAGUGGCGGACGGGUGAGUCAUGUCUGGGAAACUGCCUGAUGGAGGGGGAUAACUACUGGAAACGGUAGCUAAUACCGCAUAACGUCGCAAGCCCAAAGAGGGGGACCUUCGGGCCUCUUGCCAUCGGAUGUGCCCAGAUGGGAUUAGCUAGUAGGUGGGGUAACGGCUCACCUAGGCGACGAUCCCUAGCUGGUCUGAGAGGAUGACAGGCAACACUGGAACUGGGACACGGUCCAGACUCCUACGGGAGGCAGCAGUGGGGAAUAUUGCACAAUGGGCGAAAGCCUGAUGCAGCCAUGCCGCGUGAAGGAAGAAGGCCUUCGGGUUGUAAAGUACUUUCAGCGGGGAGGAAGGGAGUAAAGUUAAUACCUUUACUCAUUGACGUUACCCGAAGAAGAAGCACCGGCUAACUCCGUG
RNAcentral lists this ribosomal RNA (490 nucleotides) under uncultured bacterium. RNAcentral's name for it is "partial 16S ribosomal RNA". It matches the Rfam family "Bacterial small subunit ribosomal RNA", at positions 30 to 507 of the family's 1533-position model. The record is from RNAcentral.